Long non-coding RNA from Hemicordylus capensis (graceful crag lizard), 542 nucleotides. RefSeq lists it as uncharacterized. The record is from RefSeq and is a predicted model, not a curated record. NCBI's taxonomy places the organism in Eukaryota, Metazoa, Chordata, Lepidosauria, Squamata, Cordylidae. The transcript is spliced from 3 exons.
UGAUAGGGACAGAUGGGGCUAGAGAGAGGAUCUGGACUUUUAAAAAGCUUUUGACAAGAGUUCCUUAUCAAAGACUCUUGAGAAAACUUAGCAGUCAUGGGAUAAGGUGACACAUACAUGUGUGGAUUGAUAAUUGGUUGAAGGAGAUGAAAGAGAGGAGUUGCAGCCGAGUAUGGAAUUUAGCCAAGCAGUAAAACCGUAAAUCACCUCCUCAGAUGGACUUGCUUGAAAGAGUUUCCUAUCUGAAAGAUGUCACGUGUAGCAUUGACAGGCAGCUAUUCAGAGGAUGGCAGACAGCCAAUAAAUCACUCAGUGGCACUUCCUUGUCCUCCCAGGCAUGUCUUACAAAAUCUACCAUUUCUGUCUUCAAACAGCAUGCGUCAAUGUCAAGGAGUUUAUGUUCCCUUUAAACUUCUGUACUUAUUUCUGCUCAACAUGCCCCUCCCCAAAACAACAACUCUUCUGUCUCUGUAUGUGUAUAGAAACUAAUUCAAUUUCCCCCCUUUCCUUUUUAAAGCUUGAAUAAAGGAAUCCCAUACACA